Molecule: ribosomal RNA, 503 nt
Filed under: uncultured bacterium
Lineage: Bacteria
Description: partial 16S ribosomal RNA
Rfam family: Bacterial small subunit ribosomal RNA
Source: RNAcentral
GAUGAACGCUGGCGGCGUGCCUAAUACAUGCAAGUCGAACGAAGAUCUAGCUUGCUAGAUCUUAGUGGCGAACGGGUGAGUAAUACAUAAAUAAUCUGCCCAUAUGACUGGGAUAACUAUUGGAAACGAUAGCUAAUACCGGAUAGGUUGAUCGGAGGCAUCUCUGAUGAAUUAAAGUGGGAUUUCUACACAAAUGGAUGAGUUUAUGGCGCAUUAGUUAGUUGGUGGGGUAACGGCCUACCAAGACGAUGAUGCGUAGCCGACCUGAGAGGGUGACCGGCCACACUGGGACUGAGACACGGCCCAGACUCCUACGGGAGGCAGCAGUAGGGAAUUUUCGGCAAUGGGCGCAAGCCUGACCGAGCAACGCCGCGUGAGUGAUUAAGGCCUUCGGGUUGUAAAGCUCUGUUGUAAGGGAAGAACAUUCAGGAUAGGAAAUGACCUUGAACUGACGGUACCUUACCAGAAAGCCACGACUAACUACGUGCCAGCCGCCGCAGUAA